UAUAUAUAUAUAUAUAUAUAUAUAUAUAUAUAUAUAUAUAUAUAUAUAUAUAUAUAUAUAUAUAUAUAUAUAUAUAUAUAUACAUACAUACAUAUAUAUAUUUACAUACAUGGUGCUUCCGUCCAUUAUCUUCCCCAUGCCAACCCUUUCUUCUUCACAUAGCACAAUAGUGGUGCAGGAUGGCCUUAAUUCCCUCAACAAUCUACCCAUGCUGCAAUGGAAAAGAAAGAAAAAAAGGGAGAAGCAUAGAAAAGAAACUUCCUUAUUAGCAGUGCUAUCU
This 280-nucleotide long non-coding RNA is filed under the name Elaeis guineensis (African oil palm). RNAcentral describes it as "long non-coding RNA (EGUI_LNC034698)". Lineage: Eukaryota; Viridiplantae; Streptophyta; Magnoliopsida; Arecales; Arecaceae. The record is from RNAcentral.